This 406-nucleotide ribosomal RNA is filed under the name uncultured bacterium. RNAcentral's name for it is "partial 16S ribosomal RNA". It matches the Rfam family "Bacterial small subunit ribosomal RNA", at positions 30 to 526 of the family's 1533-position model. The record is from RNAcentral.
AUUGAACGCUGGCGGCAGGCCUAACACAUGCAAGUCGAACGAGUGGCGGACGGGUGAGUAAUGUCUGGGAAACUGCCUGAUGGAGGGGGAUAACUACUGGAAACGGUAGCUAAUACCGCAUACCAUCAGAUAUGCCCAGAUGGGAUUAGCUUGUUGGUGGGGUAACCGCGUACCAAGGCUACGAUCCCUAGCUGGUCUUAGAGGAUGACCAGCCACAUUGGUACGGAGACACGGUCCAGACUCCUCCGGUAGGCAGCAGUGGGGAAUAUUGCACAAUGGGCGCAAGCCGUAUGCAGCCAUGCCGCGUGUAUGAAGAAGGCCUUCGGGUUGUAAAGUACUUUCAGUGGGGAGGCGUUACCCGCAGAAGAAGCACCGGCUAACUCCGUGCCAGCAGCCGCGGUAAUAC